This 498-nucleotide ribosomal RNA is filed under the name uncultured bacterium. RNAcentral's name for it is "partial 16S ribosomal RNA". It matches the Rfam family "Bacterial small subunit ribosomal RNA", at positions 30 to 523 of the family's 1533-position model. The record is from RNAcentral.
AUUGAACGCUGGCGGCAUGCCUUACACAUGCAAGUCGAACGGUAACAGGUCUUCGGAUGCUGACGAGUGGCGAACGGGUGAGUAAUACAUCGGAACGUGCCUAGUAGUGGGGGAUAACUACUCGAAAGAGUGGCUAAUACCGCAUGAGAUCUACGGAUGAAAGCAGGGGAUCGCAAGACCUUGUGCUACUAGAGCGGCCGAUGGCAGAUUAGGUAGUUGGUGGGAUAAAAGCUUACCAAACCGACGAUCUGUAGCUGGUCUGAGAGGACGAUCAGCCACACUGGGAAUGAGAAACGGCCCAGAAUCCUACGGGAGGCAGCAGUGGGGAAUUUUGGACAAUGGGCGCAAGCCUGAUCCAGCAAUGCCGCGUGCAGGAUGAAGGCCUUCGGGUUGUAAACUGCUUUUGUACGGAACGAAAAGCCCCGGGUUAAUACCCUGGGGUCAUGACGGUACCGUAAGAAUAAGCACCGGCUAACUACGUGCCAGCAGCCGCAGUAA